RNAcentral lists this ribosomal RNA (499 nucleotides) under uncultured bacterium. RNAcentral's name for it is "bacterial SSU rRNA". It matches the Rfam family "Bacterial small subunit ribosomal RNA", at positions 32 to 507 of the family's 1533-position model. The record is from RNAcentral.
GGACGACGCUGGCGGCGUGCCUAACACAUGCAAGUCAAGGAGAAUUCCCGACUUGUCGGGAUAGUAAACUGGCGAACGGGUGAGUAACACGUAGGUAAUCUACCCUCGGGAUCGGGAUAACCUCGCGAAAGUGGGGAUAAUACCGAAUAAAGUCUCGGUAUAAUUUGUCGAGAUGAAAGAUGGGGAUCUUCGGACCUAUUACCUGAGGAUGAGCCUGCGCCUGAUUAGCUAGUUGGUAGGGUAAAUGCCUACCAAGGCAACGAUCAGUAGCUGGUCUGAGAGGAUGAUCAGCCACAUUGGGACUGAGAUACGGCCCAGACUCCUACGGGAGGCAGCAGUGAGGAAUUUUGCGCAAUGGGCGAAAGCCUGACGCAGCAACGCCGCGUGACUGAUUAAGCUCUGAGGAGUGUAAAAGUCUGUCGUAGAGGAAGAAACUAUCCGAUAAGAAUAUUGUCGGAUACUGACGGUACUCUAUGAGAAAGCUCCGGCUAACUCCGUG